This 302-nucleotide unclassified non-coding RNA is filed under the name Hevea brasiliensis (rubber tree). The record is from RNAcentral. Lineage: Eukaryota; Viridiplantae; Streptophyta; Magnoliopsida; Malpighiales; Euphorbiaceae.
UCUCCUUUUUAUCAGUGCUUUGGUUUGUUCUCUCCUCUUGAGAUAUUCCCAUGUUCAUUCCUUCCCCCUCAAAAGUAUGUGGCUGCUGACUUGCUUGCACAUCAAUCCGAUUAUUUAUCCAUUUUUCCUCGGAAGAAGAUUCAAAAUAAGUCUUGUCUUCUUUAGGAACUUCAGAUUUCUUGACAUCCUUGUUAUUUUCUCCCAAUUCACAGUCUGCUUCUUUGAAAUGCUUUACUGAGUCUGGCUUGGAAUCUAUCCCAUUAACUGACCAUCUUUCCUCAUGAGAAGAUACAAAAUUACUC